This 523-nucleotide ribosomal RNA is filed under the name Helicobacter pylori. RNAcentral describes it as "bacterial SSU rRNA". It matches the Rfam family "Bacterial small subunit ribosomal RNA", at positions 217 to 754 of the family's 1533-position model. Lineage: Bacteria; Pseudomonadati; Campylobacterota; Epsilonproteobacteria; Campylobacterales; Helicobacteraceae. The record is from RNAcentral.
GCUAAGAGAUCAGCCUAUGUCCUAUCAGCUUGUUGGUAAGGUAAUGGCUUACCAAGGCUAUGACGGGUAUCCGGCCUGAGAGGGUGAACGGACCACACUGGAACUGAGACACGGUCCAGACUCCUACGGGAGGCAGCAGUAGGGAAUAUUGCUCAAUGGGGGAAACCCUGAAGCAGCAACGCCGCGUGGAGGAUGAAGGUUUUAGGAUUGUAAACUCCUUUUGUUAGAGAAGAUAAUGACGGUAUCUAACGAAUAAGCACCGGCUAACUCCGUGCCAGCAGCCGCGGUAAUACGGAGGGUGCAAGCGUUACUCGGAAUCACUGGGCGUAAAGAGCGCGUAGGCGGGAUAGUCAGUCAGGUGUGAAAUCCUAUGGCUUAACCAUAGAACUGCAUUUGAAACUACUAUUUCUAGAGUGUUGGGAGAGGUAGGUGGAAUUCUUGGUGUAGGGGUAAAAUCCGUAGAGAUCAAGAGGAAUACUCAUUGCGAAGGCGACCUGCUGGAACAUUACUGACGCUUGAUUGC